CUUCGUCAUCCGUGCCGCUCGCUGUCUGCGGGAGCCGGAGCUGAUCCCCUCGGCAUACGCGGGCACACGCGGGCACACACACCUCCAAUAGCUGGAGUGUUUUCUGCGGGGGCGGAUGGGGAUUCCUCUCUUCUUUCCCACUACGGUCCCUAGGAUGUGGAUCCUACCCCGCGCCAUCCAUCACGCUCCCUCAGCCUGAUGCCUUCAACCCCUUCCUCACCCCUGAACCACAUUCGUCUCCCCUAGACCCCUAGGAGAAAGAGUAAAGCAAGCAAACCCCUGGAGUGUUCCUUGACCACUUACUUCCUCCUCGGGAAGAUGAAGGAACUUUAUAAAAGAGAGCUGAGGUUCCGUCGGUCGAGGAGGUGAGGACCAGACCCGCCUUUGACAUUUGCUGUGCCCAGGACAAAGAUAAAAUGGAAUUCUACAUACCAGAGGAGCUCCGGUCUUCACUUUCACCUUGGACAUUGUCUCCUGGCUUCCAGUGCAGACUCUUCACUGAUAUGGACUCACCUGGGAGUCACUCUUUGACUGCAUGCUUCAGAUCCCCAGUGUGCAGACAGAUCUUUUGCACUCUUUCACACCCAACUCUGUGGAUGGCCAUCACAAGCCAAUCUGUCUCCAGAGAGCAUGACUGAGGGAGACAGGAUGCUGCUGAAGGACCAGGUUUUCCUCAUAUGCCUUCUCUAAGCUUCUGAGACAAAGGCCGAGGACUUCUCCACCGUCACAGCCCCAGACCAGGAAAAAGAAUGUAAUAAUGGCCAAUGAAAUAUUCAUUCCAGACUGAUGCUGUAUACCACCGUCUCAAUCGCCGGGUUACAUUAUUGCUUCUGAACAGAAGAGCAGCAGGGGUAGUCUGGGACCACAGUGAGUCAUUUCUCCCUGGAGAAAGCUGGUCGUCAUUGCCCUGCUCCCAGGGCCUCUGCUGUCAUGGCGUCAGCUGUGCCACCCAGACUGGGACACGUGAGGCUGACAACGGGGUAGGAGGCGGCAGAAGCUGGCUGUAUUAUUUCAGGUGCUCGGACCUUGGGAAGUGCUCAGGAACAUUUAAAGAGUGGUUG
RNAcentral lists this long non-coding RNA (1061 nucleotides) under Heterocephalus glaber (naked mole-rat). Its description in RNAcentral is "lncRNA (ENSHGLG00100036215.1)". Lineage: Eukaryota; Metazoa; Chordata; Mammalia; Rodentia; Bathyergidae. The record is from RNAcentral.